Molecule: ribosomal RNA, 465 nt
Filed under: uncultured bacterium
Lineage: Bacteria
Description: partial 16S ribosomal RNA
Rfam family: Bacterial small subunit ribosomal RNA
Source: RNAcentral
GAUGAACGCUGGCGGCGUGCUUAACACAUGCAAGUCGAACGGAAAGGCUCCUGCUUGCAGGGGUACUCGAGUGGCGAACGGGUGAGUAACACGUGGGUGAUCUGCCCUGCACUUCGGGAUAAGCCUGGGAAACUGGGUCUAAUACCGGAUAGGACGAUGGUUUGGAUGCCAUUGUGGAAAGUUUUUUCGGUGUGGGAUGAGCUCGCGGCCUAUCAGCUUGUUGGUGGGGUAAUGGCCUACCAAGGCGUCGACGGGUAGCCGGCCUGAGAGGGGGUACGGCCACAUUGGGACUGGGAUACGGCCCAGACCCCUACGGGGGGCAGCAGUGGGGAAUAUGGCACAAUGGGCGCAAGCCGGAUGCAGCGACGCCGCGUGGGGGAUGACGGCCUUCGGGUUGUAAACUCCUUUCGCUAGGGACGAAGCGCAAGUGACGGUACCGGGAGAAGAAGCACCGGCUAACUACGU